GAUGAACGCUGGCGGCGUGCCUAAUACAUGCAAGUCGAGCGAACAGACGAGGAGCUUGCUCCUCUGACGUUAGCGGCGGACGGGUGAGUAACACGUGGAUAACCUACCUAUAAGACUGGGAUAACUUCGGGAAACCGGAGCUAAUACCGGAUAAUAUAUUGAACCGCAUGGUUCAAUAGUGAAAGACGGUUUUGCUGUCACUUAUAGAUGGAUCCGCGCCGCAUUAGCUAGUUGGUAAGGUAACGGCUUACCAAGGCGACGAUGCGUAGCCGACCUGAGAGGGUGAUCGGCCACACUGGAACUAAGACACGGUCCAGACUCCUACGGGAGGCAGCAGUAGGGAAUCUUCCGCAAUGGGCGAAAGCCUGACGGAGCAACGCCGCGUGAGUGAUGAAGGUCUUCGGAUCGUAAAACUCUGUUAUUAGGGAAGAACAAAUGUGUAAGUAACUAUGCACGUCUUGACGGGACCUAAUCAGAAAGCCACGGCUAACUACGU
This 496-nucleotide ribosomal RNA is filed under the name uncultured bacterium. RNAcentral describes it as "partial 16S ribosomal RNA". It matches the Rfam family "Bacterial small subunit ribosomal RNA", at positions 28 to 506 of the family's 1533-position model. The record is from RNAcentral.